This 119-nucleotide ribosomal RNA is filed under the name Babesia sp. Xinjiang. Lineage: Eukaryota; Apicomplexa; Aconoidasida; Piroplasmida; Babesiidae. The record is from RNAcentral.
GUUGCCGGCCAUACUGCGUCGAAAAUACCGGAUCCCAUCCGAACUCCGAAGUCAAGCGGCGGUAGGCCGGGAUAGUACUGGGGUGGGGGACCGCCCGUUAUCUGUCAUGUUUGGAAGUU